This 459-nucleotide ribosomal RNA is filed under the name uncultured bacterium. Its description in RNAcentral is "partial 16S ribosomal RNA". It matches the Rfam family "Bacterial small subunit ribosomal RNA", at positions 338 to 795 of the family's 1533-position model. The record is from RNAcentral.
CCUACGGGAGGCAGCAGUGAGGAAUAUUGGUCAAUGGACGCAAGUCUGAACCAGCCAUGCCGCGUGCAGGAAGACGGCUCUAUGAGUUGUAAACUGCUUUUGUACGAGGGUAAACGCAGAUACGCGUAUCUGUCUGAAAGUAUCGUACGAAUAAGGAUCGGCUAACUCCGUGCCAGCAGCCGCGGUAAUACGGAGGAUUCAAGCGUUAUCCGGAUUUAUUGGGUUUAAAGGGUGCGUAGGCGGUCGGAUAAGUUAGAGGUGAAAUCCCGAGGCUCAACUUCGGAAUUGCCUCUGAUACUGUUGGGCUAGAGAGUAGUGGCGGUAGGCGGAAUGUAUGGUGUAGCGGUGAAAUGCUUAGAGAUCAUACAGAACACCGAUUGCGAAGGCAGCUUACCAAGCUACUUCUGACGUUGAGGCACGAAAGCGUGGGGAGCAACAGGAUUAGAUACCCUUGUAGUC